CAUCUUCUCCAGCCUUUCCUCUUUACUUUUGUGUUAGGCCGGCGCCUUGCUCGGGUGUCUAGGGUUUUCUCUGCAGGGUUUGGGUAAUCUGUCGUUACCGCUACCCCGUUUCCUCUGCUGUACCAAACUCUUUUCUGCUUAAUGAAAAACGCGCCGCUCGGCGUGGUCUCGAAAAAAAAGUUACUUAUUUAUCUAAUCGAUCAUAAUCCUCAAUCAAGGUUUACAUUUAUUAUAUUUUGGUCAUCUAUGCUCAAACAAAGCAAAAAUACCAAGCUCCGACACCCCCAACCCUCGAAUAAAGUUGUUAUAUCACACAUUCGCUCUAUAAAUGGUAAUAUUUGUUAUACAUAGCACAAAUACUGUUUUCUCAACAUUUUUAGUUACUUAUUUAUCUAAUCGAUCAUAAUCCUCAAUCAAGGUUUACAUUUAUUAUAUUUUGGUCAUCUAUGCUCAAACAAAGCAAAAAUACCAAGCUCCGACACCCCCAACCCUCGAAUAAAGUUGUUAUAUCACACAUUCGCUCUAUAAAUGGUAAUAUUUGUUAUACAUAGCACAAAUAUUUCCUUAAGAACAUCAAAUGCACUUAAUAGGACUGUUGACAUACACAUUAAUCAGGAAAAAUACUCAGUGCAAACCAUC
RNAcentral lists this long non-coding RNA (639 nucleotides) under Sorghum bicolor (sorghum). RNAcentral's name for it is "long non-coding RNA (SBIC_LNC011553)". Lineage: Eukaryota; Viridiplantae; Streptophyta; Magnoliopsida; Poales; Poaceae. The record is from RNAcentral.